This 1138-nucleotide long non-coding RNA is filed under the name Homo sapiens (human). Its description in RNAcentral is "DYRK3 antisense RNA 1 (DYRK3-AS1)". Lineage: Eukaryota; Metazoa; Chordata; Mammalia; Primates; Hominidae. The record is from RNAcentral.
AGGGGCGGGGCCCGUGGCCGGUAAAGGCCACGCGGCGCUCCUAGCGGGUGCUAGUACUGGCGCGGGAGGCGGGAGGUUGGAGGCGAGGAGCUCGCGGCCUAGGCUGUUUGGGUCCCUGGCGCGAGCUGUAGACGGAGAGAGGGGUCCGGAGAAGGAGGGGUGAAAGUAGCAGUUAGCCCGCGAUCUCAGAAGGGCUGCCCGCCCCUCACGGUCCCUUAAUAGCACGUUGCGUCCUGGAAGUUCUAAAACGUCCCGCUUCAAUAUGAAUUUUAAAUUAGUGAAAACAUAUGUGUAUUGUUUUAGGCUUUCCCACCGCGGGGACGGCCCUCCGGGGGUUGACUUAGCUGGGAUGCAGAAUAGAAGCUGGGCCUUUGUCUGACUACCCUGCAACAGUCAGCCACAGACGGGAAGGCAGCGCAGGAAACUGAGGCCAAAGGAGCCGCGCUUCCUCAUGAGCAUGAAGCGGCAAAGCCUGAACUAGAAGCUUCUAACGCCUAACCGUCCUCUUGCCGCACCAGGACCUACCUCUGCAAGGCCCUUCCUGACUUUUUCCUUAGAAUGUGUGUAUAUGUGUCUUUUUCCUUUUCUGAUGCUAAGACACCUCAGAAACACCAAUGUUAAGCAGAUUUCCAUCGUUGGAGGUUAAAACACCCGAAUACAAGUGUUUUCUUGAGUGUGGCAUCUGGUCAGAUGUUUUAUGGGUUGGUUUGUUUUUAAAAAAAAAAAAUUUCCUGUUAGAUGGGUGGUAAGAACCAGUCAGAGUUUGUAAACCCACCAAGCACGAGGCGGUCGGACCGUCCAGAUUCUGGAGUCCAGAAGACACCAAACGUUCUCAGAAUGCCGAACGCGGGCGCCACCUGGUGGGACUAGAACGCUUAUUGUCCCAAAUCAGCAUAGCACACAGUUCCCAUAAAUCUUAAAAAUUCCCAUCCAAGGCUCAUUUCCGUGUGACUAAAAGUCAUAUUCUCUGUUCUCGUGACUCCAAGUAAAAAUGUCCCUAAAGAGCCAAAGUAUCUUCACUGUAUAAACUAAUAAUCUAUUGGUUUGGGGAAUUUUAUUUUUUGUGAUCAAUGUUACUUUAGCCUUUCUAUGAUAUACAUAUAAAUAAAAAAGUUUUCUUCCAUGAUGAUUUUUUAAA